UCGUGGGGCAGCAGGGGUAGCAAUACCCGCUGGCGACCGGCAAACGGGUGCGGAACACGUACGCAACCUUCCUUUAACUGGAGAAUAGCCCCUCGAAAGAGGGAUUAAUACUCCGUAACAUAUUGAUAAGGCAUCUUAUUAAUAUUAUAGCUCCGGCGGUUAAAGAUGGGCGUGCGCCUGAUUAGAUAGUUGGCGGGGUAACGGCCCACCAAGUCUGCGAUCAGUAACUGGUGUGAGAGCACGACCAGUCACACGGGCACUGAGACACGGGCCCGACUCCUACGGGAGGCAGCAGUAAGGAAUAUUGGUCAAUGGACGCAAGUCUGAACCAGCCAUGCCGCGUGGAGGAUUAAGGCCCUCUGGGUUGUAAACUCCUUUUAUCUGGGAAGAAAUGCAUUUUUUCUAAAGUGCUUGACGGUACCAGAGGAAUAAGCACCGGCUAACUCCGUGCCAGCAGCCGCGGUAAUACGGAGGGUGCAAGCGUUAUCCGGAUUCACUGGGUUUAAAGGGUGCGUANGCGGGCAGUUAANUCCGUGGUGAAAUCUCUGANCUUAACUCANAAACUGCCAUGGAUACUAUCUGUCUUGAAUAUUGUGGAGGUUAGCGGAAUAUAUCAUGGUAGCGGUGAAAUGCUUAGAUAUGACAUAGAACACCAAUUGCGAAGGCAGCUAACUACACAGUUAUUGACGCUGAAGCACGAAAGCGUGGGGAUCAAACAGGAUUAGAUACCCUUGGUAGUCCACGCCC
This 747-nucleotide ribosomal RNA is filed under the name uncultured Sphingobacteriia bacterium. RNAcentral describes it as "bacterial SSU rRNA". It matches the Rfam family "Bacterial small subunit ribosomal RNA", at positions 62 to 802 of the family's 1533-position model. The record is from RNAcentral. Lineage: Bacteria; Pseudomonadati; Bacteroidota; Sphingobacteriia.